RNAcentral lists this ribosomal RNA (468 nucleotides) under uncultured bacterium. RNAcentral's name for it is "partial 16S ribosomal RNA". It matches the Rfam family "Bacterial small subunit ribosomal RNA", at positions 28 to 507 of the family's 1533-position model. The record is from RNAcentral.
GAUGAACGCUGGCGGCGUGCUUAACUCAUGCAAGUCGAACGGUGAAGGCGGAGCUUGCUCUGCUGGAUCAGUGGCGAACGGGUGAGUAACACGUGAGCAAUCUGCCCCUGACUCUGGGAUAAGCGCUGGAAACGGCGUCUAAUACUGGAUACGAGCUGCGAAGGCAUCUUCAGCAGCUGGAAAGAAUUUCGGUCAGGGAUGAGCUCGCGGCCUAUCAGCUUGUUGGUGAGGUAAUGGCUCACCAAGGCGUCGACGGGUAGCCGGCCUGAGAGGGUGACCGGCCACACUGGGACUGAGACACGGCCCAGACUCCUACGGGAGGCAGCAGUGGGGAAUAUUGCACAAUGGGCGAAAGCCUGAUGCAGCAACGCCGCGUGAGGGACGACGGCCUUCGGGUUGUAAACCUCUUUUAGCAGGGAAGAAGCGAAAGUGACGGUACCUGCAGAAUAAGCGCCGGCUAACUACGUG